GGAAGUGCCCUGCAGAGGACCUGGACCUGCUGGGCUGGGCAUGAACGACUUGCUGUGGAGCCAGGAGCCGAGGAGACCCAUCCGACAGCAAACGGAGCUGCCAGAAGAAAAUUAAGAUAAACCCUGUUUGGAACAAAGAGAGCUGUGGGCUGCUUCUUUAGAGCUUCAUGACUGGACCUUCUUAAGGUUGCCACUGGCUGACUCCCUCUGCCUUCCAGACGGAGAUGUCUCUCACCAUCAAGCAGAGGCCAGCCAGCACUCAGGAGAUGAAUCUGCCCCAGGUUGUCCAGCUUCAAGACAAGAGCGAGACCUCUAUCACAAGGAUUAUUUCCACCAGCUCCUCUGCACCACUGAAAGGGAAGUUCAUUGAGCCAAUUUGGGCCAUUGGUGCCCGAGCCAUCCUGGACUUCCCUGGCCAGCUGGACUUCAGUCUGUUGGGUCAAGCGCAGCACCCAGAAGACUCUGCUGGUUGGAAACCAGGGCAGCUGUUACCAGCUGAGCACCCAGAGGUGAGGCAGCUCAGCUUUUGUUGUGCAAAACACCUUUGGGUGAUAACAGAGUUGGUAAAGAGCAAC
Non-coding RNA from Taeniopygia guttata (zebra finch), 575 nucleotides. NCBI's taxonomy places the organism in Eukaryota, Metazoa, Chordata, Aves, Passeriformes, Estrildidae. The record is from RefSeq and is a predicted model, not a curated record.